CCUACGGGAGGCAGCAGUGAGGAAUAUUGGUCAAUGGACGCAAGUCUGAACCAGCCAUGCCGCGUGCAGGAAGACGGCUCUAUGAGUUGUAAACUGCUUUUGUACGAGGGUAAACGCAGAUACGCGUAUCUGUCUGAAAGUAUCGUACGAAUAAGGAUCGGCUAACUCCGUGCCAGCAGCCGCGGGAAUACGGAGGAUUCAAGCGUUAUCCGGAUUUAUUGGGUUUAAAGGGUGCGUAGGCGGUCGGAUAAGUUAGAGGUGAAAUCCCGAGGCUCAAAUUCGGAAUUGCCUCUGAUACUGUUCGGCUAGAGAGUAGUUGCGGUAGGCGGAAUGUAUGGUGUAGCGGGGAAAUGCUUAGAGAUCAUACAGAACACCGAUUGCGAAGGCAGCUUACCAAGCUACUUCUGACGUUGAGGCACGAAAGCGUGGGGAGCAAACAGGAUUAGAUACCCUGGUAGUC
Molecule: ribosomal RNA, 460 nt
Filed under: uncultured bacterium
Lineage: Bacteria
Description: partial 16S ribosomal RNA
Rfam family: Bacterial small subunit ribosomal RNA
Source: RNAcentral